AUUGAACGCUGGCGGCAUGCCUUACACAUGCAAGUCGAACGGCAGCACGGGAGCUUGCUCCUGGUGGCGAGUGGCGAACAGGUGAGUAAUACAUCGGAACGUACCCUGAAGUGGGGGAUAACGUAGCGAAAGUUACGCUAAUAUCGCAUAUUUUGUGAGCAGGAAAGAGGGGGAUCGCAAGACCUCUUGCUUUAGGAGCGGCCGAUGUCGGAUUAGCUAGUUGGUGAGGUAAAGGCUCACCAAGGCGACGAUCCGUAGCGGGUCUGAGGGGAUGAUCCGCCACACUGGGACUGAGACACGGCCCAGACUCCUACGGGAGGCAGCAGUGGGGAAUUUUGGACAAUGGGCGCAAGCCUGAUCCAGCCAUGCCGCGUGAGUGAAGAAGGCC
RNAcentral lists this ribosomal RNA (388 nucleotides) under uncultured bacterium. RNAcentral describes it as "bacterial SSU rRNA". It matches the Rfam family "Bacterial small subunit ribosomal RNA", at positions 30 to 416 of the family's 1533-position model. The record is from RNAcentral.